This is a small nucleolar RNA of Peromyscus maniculatus bairdii (prairie deer mouse), 132 nucleotides long. Its record names the gene SNORA70. It matches the Rfam family "Small nucleolar RNA SNORA70". Rfam says of the family: snoRNA U70 seems to be exclusive to mammals and is a member of the H/ACA class of snoRNA which contain H (ANANNA) and ACA box motifs. H/ACA box snoRNAs are involved in the conversion of uridines to pseudouridines (5-ribosyluracil) a constituent of structural RNAs (transfer, ribosomal, small nuclear, and small nucleolar). The record is from Ensembl. NCBI's taxonomy places the organism in Eukaryota, Metazoa, Chordata, Mammalia, Rodentia, Cricetidae.
CUGCAGCUAGUUGAGCUGCCCAGGUCCCUUUCUUCACGGAGGCCUGUGUGCAAUGGCUGCAAACAGCAGCCUCCUGGGUAACACUUUUAGCCUGCUGCCUAUGUGGGCUGCACUAGGACACAGUGGCCAGGG